GACGAACGCUGGCGGCGUGCUUAACACAUGCAAGUCGAACGGAAAGGCCCCUUCGGGGGUACUCGAGUGGCGAACGGGUGAGUAACACGUGAGUAACCUGCCCUUGACUUCGGGAUAACUUCAGGAAACUGGGGCUAAUACCGGAUAGGAAUCCUUGCUGCAUGGUGGGGGUUGGAAAGCUUCGGCGGUUUUGGAUGGACUCGCGGCUUAUCAGCUUGUUGGUGGGGUAGUGGCUUACCAAGGCUUUGACGGGUAGCCGGCCUGAGAGGGCGACCGGCCACAUUGGGACUGGGAUACGGCCCAGAAUCCUACGGGAGGCAGCAGUGGGGAAUAUUGCACAAUGGGCGGAAGCCUGAUGCAGCAACGCCGCGUGCGGGAUGACGGCCUUCGGGUUGUAAACCGCUUUCAGCAGGGGCGAAGCUUGUGGUGACGGUACCUGCAGAAGAAGCACCGGCUAACUACGUG
RNAcentral lists this ribosomal RNA (465 nucleotides) under uncultured bacterium. Its description in RNAcentral is "partial 16S ribosomal RNA". It matches the Rfam family "Bacterial small subunit ribosomal RNA", at positions 28 to 507 of the family's 1533-position model. The record is from RNAcentral.